AAAACACAUAAUAGAGAGUGAAAAGCAAAUUUGGGCGGAAAUUGUAGCAGCAUAGCAUUGAUGGGUUUGGCGAGAUUUGGGCGUCCGAAGGGAGCAGCAGAAGGGCAGUUGAGCCCCAACCUGUUCGUCGCCAACUGUGGGCCCGCCGUGGGACUAUCCCACGACGCCAUUGCUUCGGCGUUUGGGGCCUUCGGUCAAGUCAAAGGCGUCUACGCCGCCGACGACACCGGUGCUCGUGUCGUUGUCUCCUUUGCUGAAGAGGCCUCUGCCCAGAACGCCUUGAAUGCGUUGCAUGGCCGCCCUUGUGCUCACCUCGGGGGUCGUACCUUGCACAUUCGCUAUUCUGUUCUUCAACCCACUUCACUGGGUCGAGUCAAUGACUCUGUGGAAGUAUCUUUACUGGAUUCUGAGUUGAAUAUUCCUGGCCUUUACUUAUUCCACGAUUUUGUCACGGCUGAAGAAGAGGAGGAGCUCCUUGCAGCAGUUGAUGAAAGGCCUUGGAAAAAUCUUGCAAAAAGAAGGGUUCAGCAUUAUGGCUAUGAAUUUUGUUAUGAGACGAGGAAUGUUGAUUCUAAGAAGAAUUUAGGUUCAUUUCCAGCAUUUGUUCCCCCUAUACUUGAAAGAAUAUCUAUGCUUCCGAAGCGCGAGGAUGUUGAAACUAUAGCUUUGGACCAAUUAACGGUUAAUGAGUAUCCACCUGGGGUGGGCUUGUCCCCACAUAUUGAUACUCAUUCUGCUUUUGAGGGAUUAAUUUUCAGCCUUUCGUUAGCAGGGCCUUGCAUCAUGGAGUUCAGAAGAUACUUUGAAGGUGACCGGCCACCUAGAACUUCCUCAAGUAUUGAUAUCGAAACAGAAAAUUCUGAAAACAAUUCAAAUUUCUUAAGGAGGGCUGUAUAUCUCCCCCCUCGGUCUUUGUUACUAUUAUCUGGAGAGGCACGCUAUGCUUGGCAUCACUACAUUCCACAUCAUAAGGUUGACAAGGUAAAAGACAGUGUGAUCAGAAGAGGCUCAAGGAGGGUGUCUUUCACAUUUCGUAAGCAUGGUAUCACAGACUAUGCUCCCAACUGCAAGGAGAAAAAUGGGCGACUUCUCUGUGUACUAGCCAUAUAUUUCAUUUUAUCUUGCUCGGAUCUUGUGUAGAUAUUGUCUCAUGAGUGUUUGAGUUAGAUUUUCAACAUGAUGAGAGUUGGACAUCUAGUCUCCAGCUUGAGGCGAAGUGUCGUUCAUGGAGGCUGGUUCAUUUAGCUUUAUAGUUGAUCAUGAGGAAUAAGUUUGAAUGAGGCCUGUUAGCUUGCAUUUUGGUUUUGGUGCAAAUGAUUCAAUUAGCUUAUUUCCAGGAUCGUAAAGAGAUCAGAUUUAUGUCUUCAAGUGGCGUCGGUAUCCCAGUCGUAUCUUUUUUUUGUCUCAUUGGGAUUAUUUCAAGUUUGAUUUUUAGAACAUUGGGAGUUUUCAAUAACUUUUCUCCAGCUUGAAAGGGAUUGUCAUUAAUAGAGGCUGAUUUAUUUAGGUACGUAGUUGAUCAUUAUGGGUGCCUAAAUUGAGAGAGAGAGAGAGUCAUUAAUAGAGGCUGAUUUAUUUAGGUACGUAGUUGAUCAUUAUGGGUGCCUAAAUAGAGAGAGAGAGAGAGAGAGAGAGAGAGAGAGUUUUCAAUCUUGUCUUUCAAUAUCUUUUCUCGAGCUUGAAAGGGAUUGUCAUUAAUUGAGGCUGAUUUAUUUAGGUACGUAGUUGAUCAUUAUGGGUGCCUAAAUUCAGACGGACGGACAGCUGAUUUAUUAUUUUUUUUUGAAAUUUUUUUUUUGAAAGAUGGGCUGGCGCGGCUGCCCUCAAGCCUUGAUUAAUGAAACUGUUGAAUACAAGGGGGGGACAUUGAGCCUAAACCCCUGAUCACAAUAAGCAUAGUGGUUAAUCAUUUUUUUGUGUGUUGGCUACAUUAUGAUAUGAUUGAGGUUUCAGUUACCCUACUUUCAGGGUAAUCUCUGGAGCAGAUUUAUUAGUGCGUCUCCUAUAUGAAACCAAAUGAUCCUAGACAUAUGUAAUUCAAAAGAUAAUACUAUGAUUAAAACUUCCUUCCAACACUACUCAUCCUAGAUUUUAUGGACUACUAUGAUAAUGUUCGGCAGUUUUGCAAUAACAGGAGGCACUAUUACACACAGUGGCACCUAUCUUUGCCAGUGUUUACAUGCAGUAGCAACCAACCCAUUGUACUAACUAGAAAUCUCAAAGUUAGCAUACAUAACUUAAAAGUUGUAUACAUCAAUCUUCUGUCUUUCUCUAGUUUUUUUGGUAAUAAAGAGGGCCUAUGUCCUUCUGAGAAGGACGAGAGUUCCACUCUCGUAUUGGGUAUGAGGCUAAAUUCCCUCUACCACUAGAUCUACUGCCAAACCUUUUCUGUGCCUGGUACACAGCAAGUUCUGCUAUGAGAUAAAGCAGUAGCUUGGUGUACAGAAACUAUUUCCUGGGCCAAGUGAUUCAUUGAGAUUAAGAUGACUGAAAAUGCUGCAAGAGUGGAUGAAUCUGUGGUUCUAGAGCUUCAACUGAAUUAUUUGCUUCUAUUGAGUACACUGAAAAGCAGCCGUCAGAACAACUCCUUGCCAAUGUGAAUUUCCACAAUACUGUGAUUCUCAGAGAUAAAAAGGGCAUGUUGAUUGGAGUUAUCGGUGCUUUUAAUCUCGUCAUCAUUAUUGGAGAUGGUUGGCGUGGAGAUAUUUCAUUAGGUGGAUUUCAUUCUUUGAUCUUCUAAGACAUGACUCGGCUGUUGAAGUUUUAGAGUUGGUUGCUCAGACCUUGUAGGGAGGAUUUUAGUGACUGAAAAGUCAUUUACCAACUUUAUUGGAUUAAACCGUGGUGGGUGAAAUGGCAAUCAAGUUACUUGCUGGUCUUCGGAGUAAAAUGCCAUUGGAAAUGGAAUGAAAUAUAGGUUUCUUAUUGAUAGAGAUGUGUGUAUCCUAUUUUGUAUGUUAUUUUGUUGUAGUUAGAACUUUGUAGUGGAGCCUCCAGAGUUUAGUAUUAUGAUCAAUAUUAUACAAGUAGUGAGAGGAGAAGAAAUAGUUUUGCCAAUAUAUGCAAUAUGAACAAAGUGAACAUAACUCGUUCUUGUAAAAGAUUUACCAGUGUUUUAAAGAAAAUUAGUCUUUCACUCAA
Rosa chinensis is the source of this 3141-nucleotide RNA transcript. It is a transcript of the gene named alkylated DNA repair protein ALKBH8 homolog, with no coding region annotated. Lineage: Eukaryota; Viridiplantae; Streptophyta; Magnoliopsida; Rosales; Rosaceae. The transcript is spliced from 8 exons. The record is from RefSeq and is a predicted model, not a curated record.